Molecule: long non-coding RNA, 199 nt
Filed under: Elaeis guineensis (African oil palm)
Lineage: Eukaryota; Viridiplantae; Streptophyta; Magnoliopsida; Arecales; Arecaceae
Description: long non-coding RNA (EGUI_LNC022191)
Source: RNAcentral
UCCUGAUAAUAUAUUAAACUCAAACUCUCUCUCUUCUCAUUAAAUAAAAUCCAAAACUUUUCUCUCUCUCUUCUCGUUAAAUAAAAUCCAAAAACUCGUCCCUAUCCCUCUGCCCUCUCCCCUCCCAUUCGGCCACCCUGACAUCGAAGGGCCAGACCCUAGCGAUGCUAUGGUGGCCCAGCAGGUUCCCACUCCCCCC